Molecule: ribosomal RNA, 2788 nt
Filed under: alkali sediment metagenome
Description: bacterial LSU rRNA
Rfam family: Archaeal large subunit ribosomal RNA
Source: RNAcentral
AAGCUGUCUGGGGAAUCGCUCGGCUCGAGCGCCGAGGAAGGUCGUGUCAAGCUGCGAUAAGCGCCGGGUAGGUGCAAGAAGCCUAUGAUCCGGUGACCGCCUAAUGGGACUUCCUAAUCUUCGGAUUGAUCCGGAAGGAUCGGGAACGCGGGGGAUCGAAACAUCCUAGUACCCGCAGGAAAAGAAAUCAACCGAGAUGCCGUUAGUAAAGGCGAUCGAAAGCGGCACAGGGUAAACCGAAUGGCUCCCAGAAAUGGGAGCUAGAUGUGGUGUUGUUGGACUCGAUACUUCUUACUCGGCUAAUCAGAAGUCAACUGGAACGUUGCACCAUAGAGGGUGAUAGUCCCGUACGAGUGAACUGAGAAGAAGAUUUUGAGUAUCCAGAGUACCGCGCGUUAGAUAUCGCGCGUGAAUCCGGGGGACACUUACCUCCAACCCUAAACACGUCUCGAGACCGAUAGCGCAGUAGUAGCGUGAGUGAAAACUGAAAAGCACCCUUGACGGGAGGUUAAAAGAGCGUGAAACCAGACAGCGAUAUUCAGAUACGGCAUGAAAGGGACGAAGCCGCAAGGCUGACCAGUGUCGUAUCGUCCGUUUCGAAUAACGGGCCAGGGAGUUCUGUUCAAUGGCGAGACUAAGCUUGAAGAAGCGGAGUCGAAGGGAAACCAAAUAGCCCGCAACGCCGCAAGGCGCGAGGGGCUAGGUGCGCUCGCCUGGAGUCAUUGGAGGGAUACCCGAAGCCAGUUGAUCUAUGCCUGGAUAGGUUGAAGCCCGUCGAAAGGGGGGUGGAGGACCGAACCGGUAAUGAUGUGCAAAUCUUUCGGAUGAUCUGGGCAUAGGGGUGAAAGGCCAAUCUAAACUGGGAAUAGCUGGUUCCCCCUGAAACUACUCGCAGGUAGAUCUCAGCUGAGAUAGGUCGUGGGGUAGAGCGACUGAUCAGAGACUUAGGCCGGGAAACCGGUCGGCCUCUUGUCAAACUCCGAACUUGCGACCGUCAUAGACGUUGGGAGUGAGGGCCUCUGGGGUAAGCUUGGGGUCCGUAAGGGAAUGCAACCCAGCCUAGAGUUAAGGUCCCUAAAUUCCGGCUAAGUGUAACAUGAAAAGUAGUCUGUAGUCCAAGACAACCGGGAGGUGGGCUUAGAAGCAGCCAUCCUUUAAAGAAAGCGUAACAGCUCACCGGUCGAGAUUAUGGGCGCUGAAAAUGGACGGGGCUAAGCCGGGUACCGAUACUUUAGAGCACUGCAAAGUGAUCUUGUAAGGGGGCGUCGGGCGUGGGUAGAAGCAUGGCUGUGAGGUCAUGUGGACCGCGUUCGAACGAUGAUCCUGGUGGGAGUAGCAGCAAAGAACGGUGAGAAUCCCCUCGGCAAUGUUCGUCAGCCGAGGGUUAGCCGAUCCUAACGCACUCCUUAAUCGAAAGUGCGGAAAGGGAAGCAGGUUAAUAUUCCUGCGCCACUGAAGUCUCUGCCUAUCAUCUCCACAUCCGGAUAUGCUGAACAAGUUUACCUGCUUGUCCAAGUGUUGAAUCCCGGGAAGAACCGUAAUGGUGAGAACCGGGGGAAUGCAUGAGCGGGAGGACGAAAGUCCUCUUCAGCUGAGUCCAGGUGUCCAUGAAAAGGGUGAUAGUAAUACAACUUCUGUGUUCGUACCAAGAACUGACACAGGUGCCCCUAGGUGAGAAGCCUAAGACGUGUCGGCGUAAUCCAGGCGAGGGAAUUCGGCAAAUUAGCCCCGUACCUUCGGUAUAAGGGGUGCCAGCCUUGAAAAAGGCUGGUCUCAGUAACAAGGGAGCUCCGACUGUUUAAUAAAAACACAGGUCACAGCAAGUCCGAAAGGAUGUGUAUUGUGGCUGAAGCCUGCCCAGUGACGGUAUCUGAAUCUCGGGUUCAACCGAACGAAGGACCGUUAAACGGCGGGGGUAACUAUGACCCUCUUAAGGUAGCGUAAUACCUUGUCGCUUAAUUGGCGACUCGCAUGAAGGCCCAACGAGAGCUCUACUGUCCCCGCCUGGAAGCCGGUGAAACCGAUAGUACUGGCGCAGAAUCCAGUACCUUCCACCUGAAAGCGAAGACCCCAUGGAGCUUUACUGCAGCCUGUCGUUGUGGUAUGAGCCUGGAUGUGUAGGGUAGGCGGGAGACGUUACCCAGGAUGUGCCGCUAGGUACACUCCGAGUCAACGAUGAAACACCGCCCUUCUGGGUUCGUAUCACUAACUUCGUGAGAAGGACACCGAUAGGUGGGCAGUUUGGGUGGGGCGCCACGCGCUCAAUAAGCAAACAAGCGCGCCCAAUGGUUAGCUCAGGCAGGUCAGAAAUCUGCCGGAGAGUGUAAAGGCAAAAGCUAGCUUGACGCCGUUCCGGAUAACAAGGAACGGCGAUACGAAAGUAGGGCUUAACGAACCAAUGAACCUUCUAUGUGGGGGUCAUUGAUGACAGAAAAGUUACCCUGGGGAUAACUGAGUCGUCGCCAGCAAGAGUUCAUAUCGACCUGGCGGCUUGCUACUUCGCUGUCGGCUCUCCCUAUCCUGGCGGUGCAGCAGCUGCCAAGGGUGGGGUUGUUCGCCCAUUAAAAGGGAUCGUGAGCUGGGUUUAGACCGUCGUGAGACAGGUUUGUUGCUUUUUGGUGGAAGUGUAUAGAUGCCUGACGAGAAGGACCCUUUAGUACGAGAGGAACGGGGGUCCCUAGCCUCUAGUUUAUCAAUUGUCUGGUAAGGCAUUGUUGAGCAGCCACGCUGGCGUGGAUAAGAGCUGAAAGCAUCUAAGCUCGAAACUACCUUGGAAAAGAGGCAUCUU